Non-coding RNA from Triticum aestivum (bread wheat), 135 nucleotides. The record is from Rfam. Lineage: Eukaryota; Viridiplantae; Streptophyta; Magnoliopsida; Poales; Poaceae.
AAAGUACUCCCUCCGUUUCAAGAUUCUUGUCUCAGAUUAGUAUAGAUACGGAUGUAUCUAAUACUAAAAUAUAAUUUGAUACAUCCGUAUUUAGACAAAUCUAAAAAAAGAAUUUUGGAACGGAGGGAGUACGUG